This 498-nucleotide ribosomal RNA is filed under the name uncultured bacterium. Its description in RNAcentral is "partial 16S ribosomal RNA". It matches the Rfam family "Bacterial small subunit ribosomal RNA", at positions 30 to 523 of the family's 1533-position model. The record is from RNAcentral.
AUUGAACGCUGGCGGCAUGCCUUACACAUGCAAGUCGAACGGUAACAGGUCUUCGGAUGCUGACGAGUGGCGAACGGGUGAGUAAUACAUCGGAACGUGCCUAGUAGUGGGGGAUAACUACUCGAAAGAGAGGCUAAUACCGCAUGAGAUCUACGGAUGAAAGCAGGGGAUCGCAAGACCUUGUGCUACUAGAGCGGCCGAUGGCAGAUUAGGUAGUUGGUGGGAUAAAAACUUACCAAGCCGACGAUCUGUAGCUGGUCUGAGAGGACGAUCAGCCACACUGGGACUGAGAAACGGCCCAGACUCCUACGGGAGGCAGCAGUGGGGAAUUUUGGACAAUGGGCGCAAGCCUGAUCCAGCAAUGCCGCGUGCAGGAUGAAGGCCUUCGGGUUGUAAACUGCUUUUGUACGGAACGAAAAGCCCCGGGUUAAUACCCUGGGGUCAUGACGGUACCGUAAGAAUAAGCACCGGCUAACUACGUGCCAGCAGCCGCCGUAA